GCCCCCAAUUUGGGUUAAAAUUUAAAACCAAACAAACCAAUCAAAAAGUAUGUUGCUAAAGAUGACUGGUAGUAAAUAUUGAUAAAGUAACAUUAAUACUAAUCAAUGAUAGCUAAUAGAAAGUUAGCAGUUAUAUGAAGUGGUGCCAUUCACAGCACCCAACAAAGCUGACGUCUCUCUGACCUAAAUAAGAACCCUAAACCAAACCAUUGACUCAUUUAGGAAAAAAUAACUUCAAAAACAUAAAGAUAUAAUAUUAAAAAAUCCUCAAGAAACAAUUACUCUACAGAGACUUAAAGAACAAGUGUGAACCAAGGCUAUUUUUUAAUCUGGCUUCAUCAGAGGAAGAAAAACAAUUAACACGUAAAGCAAGAUCUAGUUGGGCUGGAGUGUUUGAGUCAGAACCGUUGAGGGAUACCAGAAAUGAUUGAAGUGAAAAACAAUAAAAGGCUUUUUUGUUUUCAAAUAAUGAAUUAUAUGGGAUCAACUUUAAACUCCCAUCACUGAACCAAUCGUACCCCUGACAGAUUUAGACAUACAAUUAUUGUCAUUCAAUUCAGAAGUUUGGUUCCUGAUGAAAAACAUGACAUGCAUCUAUCAAAACAUAAUAAUCUAAAAGCAGCAUUUCUAUUCACAUCUAAGAAAAAGAACAGCAUGCCAAUUAUUCAGAACCUUAUUACUGAAUUAUUAUUCAAUCAAGCUCUUCCCACCAAAGAGAGAGUCCACAGCACUCAACACAUUUGUUCCUGGUUCGAUUCCCAGCUCUGGUCUAUUUGCUGCAUGUCUUCCUCCUCUGUCUCCAUUCUUCUUUCUUUCAAAGUUUAAUAAAUUUCAUUUGUGCCACAAACAUCCUUAAAAAGACACCCUACAUCUGCUAUGUUUGAUAUACGGCAUAAAAUUGAUGUUAGUUUAUGCUCAGUUUCUUUUUUUAAGUAAUUUAUUCCUUGAUCUUAACUCAUAGAUUUAAUGAUAAUGAGUAAAAAAAGAAAUUAAUUUGCUUCCGUGAUUGUAUUUCCAGUGAGAUGACUACACCUAAUAAAACUGAAAAAAAGAAACUAUUAAAAGAACAAAUCAAUUCUAAUACUGAGGCAUUAUGUGCAUUUAUCAAACGUUUGUGUGGCGAUACAUUCUAAUGUCCAUAGCUACAUUAAAACAGCACAAAGAAAUCCAAACAAAUCAGGAUGCAUUAGUCAUGCUUUGUUAAGUGAUUAGUAGUGCAGGAGUUUCUCACAGAACUCAUUCAAAAGAGCUGUUUUACAAUCUGCAUUUAUAUCACCAGAGUGAUAUAACCAAGCAAAUGUGCUACUAGUGAAAACUGAAUAUAAUCGUUUCUCUUCAAGCUGCUGGAAAAAUGAUCCCUACUCAAACAAAGUCCUAAAAAUAGAGUCUGAGGUCACUGCACUGGAAGAGAAGAUUAGCUGCUCCAGCUAAUCUUGAUUAGCUGGAUGAAGACACUGCCAUUGAUUUCCUUUUUUUUCGUUCAGUUGGCUCUGACGUCGUAGCCUGUGUUGUCAUAAACGCCAACUAUUCUCAUAAUCGUCUUUCAAUUACUUGACGCCACAGGCUUCCCAAUCAUGGCAAGUUGUUAAUUUAGAAGCCAUGCCAUGAAUUGAAGGUUCACCGUGUCUGCCAAACACACGCCACUGUGGUCGGAAACAGAAAAGAGGCGCGAUGUGCGGGCGAACCUCCUCUGACAGAGCUGGACGGCGUCAAUUUCUCGCAUCACCCAGGGUAUAAUUUUGUGUCAAAGACCAUUCCUGGGGACAACACAGCAGAGUUGUAUGACACUGAUGACUGAUUAUCAUUGGCAAUAACAAAAGCCAAGCAACGAGAGAGUUUGGAGAAUCGCGACCCCUUUCCACAGACUACCGAGACCAGCUAGAUGUCGGACUCAAAUCCAUCAACUCCAGGACCAAGCUUUCUUGGGAAACCCACAAAAGAACUGAAGCCCGUCUGUGCAGUGAUGGAGGACACGAGACAAACAUCCAUUCACACGUAAACAUACACCUCCGUCCAACUUCAAUCCAUCCAACAUGCAUCGAAUUCGAAGUACAUGGAGAAAAUCCACUUUAGGUUGAACCCUACACAUGGCACACAGAAGUCAACAUUUUAGUAAAACACAUCUCAGCACUAACUUUAGAAGAAUGUUCUGAUUUCUGCCCAGUGUCAAUCUAAAGGAGCCGACAAAUCCAGACCUAGUCCCACAUCUCCAGUGGCUGAAAUCAACAUUUGUCCCUUUAGGUUCAUGUUGGCACAAUAUUGUCAACUAUUGUGGAUCAUUUUCAAAACUGAUGAGCAAUAGAAAAACAAAUGGAAAUGGAAUGAGCAUGUGUUAAUGCAGGAUUUAUAAAACAAAUCAAGCAGGAAGUGCUUUUUUUUCUGCGAAGGACUAUUACUGUCACUUGAAUGAAGCAAGCCUAAUAUCGAGAUAUAAAGAUGCCAGGGUAACGGCAAGUGUUUGUUUUUUUUGUUUUGUUUUUAAUCUUCAAAGAUUAUUUAAUGCAAAGUUCAGUUUGAGAGAAAUAUUGAUGGUCAUCAAGAUGCCGCAACACAUGUUAACCUUUUAUUGACCCACAAUAAUUAAUAAACCAACUGCGUAAUUUAACUGCAGAAUAUGGGUUGGAGGUGAGGACUUUGAUGCUUGGUGAAAACAGAUCACCUGGAAACUUCAACAGACUCCUUACAUUGGUGCAUAUCAUUAAGAAUGACUGCAGACAAACAAAACAUAUAGUGUGUAAUGUUACAAUCAAAGCCUGAGAUUUUUACGCCCUUCUGUAGGUUUACUGACUUUCAUUCACCUCUUGA
Long non-coding RNA from Gambusia affinis (western mosquitofish), 2805 nucleotides. RefSeq lists it as uncharacterized. The record is from RefSeq and is a predicted model, not a curated record. Lineage: Eukaryota; Metazoa; Chordata; Actinopteri; Cyprinodontiformes; Poeciliidae. The transcript has 5 exons.